AUGCAUCCAUGACUUAUCCAUCUCACACACUAUAAAAUGAUACAUAUAAUAAAGUGAAAAGACCAGCAAUGAAACACUACUAUAUUGACAGAGAAGAGAACAAAGUGGGAAAAAAAGAAAAAAAAAAUUCUACAAUAAUCAGACAACUGUUUUUACAAAAUAAUCGUCGCGUAACAUAGAUUAAGACGACGGCAUGUCUAUUUACCGUCGUCUUUAAGCAAACAACAAGAUAUUUAUUUUCUUUUUGAAGAACAGGUCUGGGUUAUGGUCGCCUAAGAACAACGGCGAUAGUAAAUAAAAACCGACGUAUAAUAAAAAUUUAGACGACGGUUGGUUUGGUGGAAACCAACCAUCGUCGUGGUUUCCAAAAAACCAAAGCCUAAUUAUUCCAUCCCCAUUCCAUUUCAAAGAACCCUUAACAAAAUGCAAACAUCAAAACAUAAAAGAACCCAUAUAUAGCUCCCAAUCAAGAAC
This 474-nucleotide long non-coding RNA is filed under the name Prunus persica (peach). RNAcentral describes it as "long non-coding RNA (PPER_LNC006203)". Lineage: Eukaryota; Viridiplantae; Streptophyta; Magnoliopsida; Rosales; Rosaceae. The record is from RNAcentral.